This 433-nucleotide ribosomal RNA is filed under the name uncultured bacterium. RNAcentral describes it as "partial 16S ribosomal RNA". It matches the Rfam family "Bacterial small subunit ribosomal RNA", at positions 29 to 507 of the family's 1533-position model. The record is from RNAcentral.
AACGAACGCUGGCGGCAUGCCUAACACAUGCAAGUCGAACGAGACCUUCGGGACUAUUGGCGCACGGGUGCGUAACGCGUGGGAACCUGCCCUUAGGGUCGGAAUAACUCCCCGAAAGGGGUGCUAAUACCGGAUAAUGUCUUCGGACCAAAGAUUUAUCGCCUUUGGAUGGGCCCGCGUUGGAUUAGCUAGUUGGUAGGGUAAAAGCCUACCAAGGCGACGAUCCAUAGCUGGUCUGAGAGGAUGAUCAGCCACACUGGGACUGAGACGCGGCCCAGACUCCUACGGAAAGCAGCAAUGGGGAAUAUUGCACAAUGGAGGAAGGCAUGAUGGAGCAAUGAUGCGUGAGUGCUGAAGGCCUUAGGGUUGUAAAGCUCUUUUACCCGGGCUGAUAAUGACGGUACCGUGAGAAUAAGCUCCGGCUAACUCCGUG